This 1264-nucleotide ribosomal RNA is filed under the name Bacillus amyloliquefaciens. Its description in RNAcentral is "bacterial SSU rRNA". It matches the Rfam family "Bacterial small subunit ribosomal RNA", at positions 96 to 1346 of the family's 1533-position model. Lineage: Bacteria; Bacillati; Bacillota; Bacilli; Caryophanales; Bacillaceae. The record is from RNAcentral.
CGGCGGACGGGUGAGUAACACGUGGGUGACCUGCCUGUAAGACUGGGAUAACUCCGGGAAACCGGGGCUAAUACCGGAUGGUUGUCUGAACCGCAUGGUUCAGACAUAAAAGGUGGCUUCGGCUACCACUUACAGAUGGACCCGCGGCGCAUUAGCUAGUUGGUGAGGUAACGGCUCACCAAGGCGACGAUGCGUAGCCGACCUGAGAGGGUGAUCGGCCACACUGGGACUGAGACACGGCCCAGACUCCUACGGGAGGCAGCAGUAGGGAAUCUUCCGCAAUGGACGAAAGUCUGACGGAGCAACGCCGCGUGAGUGAUGAAGGUUUUCGGAUCGUAAAGCUCUGUUGUUAGGGAAGAACAAGUGCCGUUCAAAUAGGGCGGCACCUUGACGGUACCUAACCAGAAAGCCACGGCUAACUACGUGCCAGCAGCCGCGGUAAUACGUAGGUGGCAAGCGUUGUCCGGAAUUAUUGGGCGUAAAGGGCUCGCAGGCGGUUUCUUAAGUCUGAUGUGAAAGCCCCCGGCUCAACCGGGGAGGGUCAUUGGAAACUGGGGAACUUGAGUGCAGAAGAGGAGAGUGGAAUUCCACGUGUAGCGGUGAAAUGCGUAGAGAUGUGGAGGAACACCAGUGGCGAAGGCGACUCUCUGGUCUGUAACUGACGCUGAGGAGCGAAAGCGUGGGGAGCGAACAGGAUUAGAUACCCUGGUAGUCCACGCCGUAAACGAUGAGUGCUAAGUGUUAGGGGGUUUCCGCCCCUUAGUGCUGCAGCUAACGCAUUAAGCACUCCGCCUGGGGAGUACGGUCGCAAGACUGAAACUCAAAGGAAUUGACGGGGGCCCGCACAAGCGGUGGAGCAUGUGGUUUAAUUCGAAGCAACGCGAAGAACCUUACCAGGUCUUGACAUCCUCUGACAAUCCUAGAGAUAGGACGUCCCCUUCGGGGGCAGAGUGACAGGUGGUGCAUGGUUGUCGUCAGCUCGUGUCGUGAGAUGUUGGGUUAAGUCCCGCAACGAGCGCAACCCUUGAUCUUAGUUGCCAGCAUUCAGUUGGGCACUCUAAGGUGACUGCCGGUGACAAACCGGAGGAAGGUGGGGAUGACGUCAAAUCAUCAUGCCCCUUAUGACCUGGGCUACACACGUGCUACAAUGGACAGAACAAAGGGCAGCGAAACCGCGAGGUUAAGCCAAUCCCACAAAUCUGUUCUCAGUUCGGAUCGCAGUCUGCAACUCGACUGCGUGAAGCUGGAAUCGCUAGUAAUCGCG